RNAcentral lists this non-coding RNA (642 nucleotides) under Pongo abelii (Sumatran orangutan). The record is from RNAcentral. Lineage: Eukaryota; Metazoa; Chordata; Mammalia; Primates; Hominidae.
AAAUCUGAGACAGCCUUGGUCUGAGGGAGAAAAGACAGAGAAUUCAUGUGCUGCCCAGGCAUAGCCACAUAGCAGGUGGACAUCCCUGGACACUUUUCUGACAAAGCAUGCAAUGUGGGGACAACACGGAAAUCCAAGAAAGGCAAGACCAAUUUCAAGGCACUAAAUAAGUGGACUGAGAUAAGAAGUACACAGAUACUUCCCAGAACAAAACCCUCAUUGGAUUUUCCUGGAAGUAUGGAGAGUUACAUCCAGAGAACUCUGAACAUUUUGGAAGAACCCCAAUCCUGCAAACAAUGAAUGGCAAUAAAUCCUGGGACUGGAAAGGGGCUUCUCAACCCCAAGGGCAACCAUAAAGUCCUAUACAAAGAAAGAUACAGCAGUGUGAAAGAGGCCUGGAUGGAAAAACAAAGACAGAGCCAGUGAGCCAGAGCCAGAGCCAGAGAACAAGAGAGAAAGGCAGAGAAUGGAAAACACAGACAGAGAAGGCAGAUGCAUAGAAAGACAGAGAUUCAAUGAGAAAAUAAGGAAGGAAGAAAGAAAGAAAACAAAAACGUUCUCAGCACUACAACUUCUGCCUUGUUCUGUUCCAGAACAGUAUGAGCUCAGUACUUUUUCAGUCUCUCAAUUUUCUACAACUAA